GAUGAACGCUGGCGGCGUGCCUAAUACAUGCAAGUAGAACGCUGAAGGAGGAGCUUGCUCUUCUGGAUGAGUUGCGAACGGGUGAGUAACGCGUAGGUAACCUGCCUGGUAGCGGGGGAUAACUAUUGGAAACGAUAGCUAAUACCGCAUGACAACAGUUAUUGCAUGAUAACUGUUUAAAAGGGCAACUGCUCCACUACCAGAUGGACCUGCGUUGUAUUAGCUAGUUGGUGAGGUAACGGCUCACCAAGGCGACGAUACAUAGCCGACCUGAGAGGGUGAUCGGCCACACUGGGACUGAGACACGGCCCAGACUCCUACGGGAGGCAGCAGUAGGGAAUCUUCGGCAAUGGACGGAAGUCUGACCGAGCAACGCCGCGUGAGUGAAGAAGGUUUUCGGAUCGUAAAGCUCUGUUGUAAGAGAAGAACGAGUGUGAGAGUGGAAAGUUCACACUGUGACGGUAUCUUACCAGAAAGAGACGGCUAACUACGUG
RNAcentral lists this ribosomal RNA (494 nucleotides) under uncultured bacterium. RNAcentral's name for it is "partial 16S ribosomal RNA". It matches the Rfam family "Bacterial small subunit ribosomal RNA", at positions 28 to 507 of the family's 1533-position model. The record is from RNAcentral.